CCCGGCUCCAGGAGGGCGCCCGCUCGCUGCCACCUUCGUGCUGAGUAAUGCUCUGCUCCAGAAAGUGAGAGUUCUCUAGGGAUUGUCACAGUAAGUAGACCAGAAGUGGGUUGAUUGGACACGACUCGUUGCUGUGUUAGGCCUUUGUUGAGGGUGUGGUACCAAAUAUUUGCCCGCCCCCCCCCCUCCAAGGCUGAAGCCAGCCAAAACGAAUCCUGUUCCUUCUCGAGUCUCUUGCCCCACCCAUGAAAGUUCGGCUCCCUUUGGAAAAUUUGACUGUCCAAAGCAGACAUUUAUGAUGUGGCUAAAUGACAUCUACAAAGGACUGUGCCUUACAGGCUAAGGUGAAGGUAAAUUGGCCUCACUGGAGUAUUGGCCAGAAUACAGUACUUUAUUUCCCGCAUAGUUUGGAAACAGUACGUCUUUAAAUAGUGUAAUUGUGCCCCAUUAUUUUAGAAAAAAAAAAAAAAAAA
Molecule: long non-coding RNA, 473 nt
Organism: Canis lupus familiaris (dog)
Lineage: Eukaryota; Metazoa; Chordata; Mammalia; Carnivora; Canidae
Exons: 2
Source: RefSeq, a predicted model, not a curated record